RNAcentral lists this ribosomal RNA (273 nucleotides) under uncultured bacterium. Its description in RNAcentral is "partial 16S ribosomal RNA". It matches the Rfam family "Bacterial small subunit ribosomal RNA", at positions 524 to 796 of the family's 1533-position model. The record is from RNAcentral.
GACGUAGGGGGCGAGCGUUGUCCGGAAUUACUGGGCGUAAAGGGCGUGUAGGCGGCCUGGCAAGUCAGUGGUGAAAAACCUGGGCUCAACCGAGGUAUUGCCAUUGAAACUGUCUGGCUUGAGGAUAGAAGAGGAGUGUGGAAUUCCCGGUGUAGCGGUGAAAUGCGUAGAGAUCGGGAGGAACACCAGUGGCGAAGGCGGCACUCUGGUCUAUACCUGACGCUGAGGCGCGAAAGCCAGGGGAGCAAACAGGAUUAGAUACCCGCGUAGUCC